GACGAACGCUGGCGGCGUGCUUAACACAUGCAAGUCGAACGGAAAGGCCCUGCUUGCAGGGUACUCGAGUGGCGAACGGGUGAGUAACACGUGGGUGAUCUGCCCUGCACUUCGGGAUAAGCUUUGGAAACUGGGUCUAAUACCGGAUAGGAACCAUCUUUAGUGUGGUGGUUGGAAAGUUUUUUCGGUGUAGGAUGAGCUCGCGGCCUAUCAGCUUGUUGGUGGGGUAAUGGCCUACCAAGGCGGCGACGGGUAGCCGGCCUGAGAGGGUGUACGGCCACAUUGGGACGGAGAUACGGCCCAGACUCCUACGGGAGGCAGCAGUGGGGAAUAUUGCACAAUGGGCGCAAGCCUGAUGCAGCGAAGCCGCGUGGGGGAUGAAGGCGUUCGGGUUGUAAACUCCUUUCGCUAGGGACGAAGCUUUGUUGUGACGGUACCUAGAUAAGAAGCACCGGCUAACUACGUG
Molecule: ribosomal RNA, 466 nt
Filed under: uncultured bacterium
Lineage: Bacteria
Description: partial 16S ribosomal RNA
Rfam family: Bacterial small subunit ribosomal RNA
Source: RNAcentral